AUACUCGUCUUGUAGUAAUUCUGCAGUUUUAGCACCUACUCCAGAAAAGCCAUCAUGCAGGUCACACAGGAUCUGGAAGCCCUGGAGAUAGAUGAAGGCAAAAAACAAAACAAAACAAAAAACAAAUCAAACCCCGGCUGUAGGCGAGGAGACUCUACCCCAACACCCAUCACCCUUGCCAGCCACUUACCUGCAAGUAAUCACAUUCUUCCACAUAGAAAUGCAGCCUGUCCUCCAGCUCUUCCAAGUACCUGGGUUCCUUCAGGACACUCUCCCCUUGGCCAAAAGCCUCCAGCCGGCCGGUCUCACUGCCAAAAACCACCACGAUAAGAGACACAGUCCUGCACUCAACUCCUCAGUCUGCUGUUUUGGAGGGCAAGUGACAUGGACCCCGGCCUUAUCCAGUGUGUUGGGGGAACCUAAGCUUUGCCUAACAGCCUCUGCAGUCCCCAUACCCGUCAUGGUUGUACUUCUGAAUCACACAGAUGCUCCGUGGAUGGAGAUGGACUCGGAGGAAGUCUGACCAGACUUUGAUGCUGUUCUCUGUGGGGAGAAGUGGUUUCGGGUUUGUAGCAGGAUGACUAGUGGGAAGAAACAGCCGAUGAGUUGUGCCAUC
This 616-nucleotide long non-coding RNA is filed under the name Rattus norvegicus (Norway rat). RNAcentral describes it as "long non-coding RNA NONRATT015432". The record is from RNAcentral. Lineage: Eukaryota; Metazoa; Chordata; Mammalia; Rodentia; Muridae.